RNAcentral lists this unclassified non-coding RNA (888 nucleotides) under uncultured Bordetella sp. RNAcentral describes it as "partial 16S-23S ribosomal RNA intergenic spacer". It matches the Rfam family "Bacterial small subunit ribosomal RNA", at positions 604 to 1499 of the family's 1533-position model. Lineage: Bacteria; Pseudomonadati; Pseudomonadota; Betaproteobacteria; Burkholderiales; Alcaligenaceae. The record is from RNAcentral.
UGAGCUUAACUUUGGAACUGCAUUUUUAACUACCGAGCUAGAGUGUGUCAGAGGGGAGGUGGAAUUCUGCGUGUAGCAGUGAAAUGCGUAGAUAUGCGGAGGAACACCGAUGGCGAAGUGCAGCCUCCUGGGAUAACACUGACGCUCAUGCACGAGCGUGGGAGCAAACAGGAUUAGAGACUUUCAGGUAGUCCACGCCCUAAACGAUGCCAACUAGCCGUUGGGGCCUUCGGGCCUUGGUAGCGCAGCGACGAAGUUGACCGCCUGGGGAGUACGGGUCGCAAGAUUAAAACUCAAAGGAAUUGACGGGGAUUCCGCACAAGCGGUGUGGAUGAUGUGGAUUAAUUCGAUGCAACGCGAAAAACCUACCUACCCUUGACAUGUCUGGAAUCCCGAAGAGAUUUGGGAGUGCCGCAAGAGCAACCGGAACAGGUGCUGCAUGGCUGUCGUCAGCUCGUGUCGUGAGAUGUUGGGUUAAGUCCUGCAACGAGCGCAACCCUUGUCAUUAGUUGCUACGAAAGGGCACUCUAAUGAGACUGCCGGUGACAAACCGGAGGAAGGUGGGGAUGACGUCAAGUCCUCAUGGCCCUUAUGGGUAGGGCCUUCACACGUCAUACAAUGGUCGGGACAGAGUGGUCGCCAACCCGCGAGGGGGAGCCAAUCCCAGAAACCCGAUCGUAGUCCGGAUCGCAGUCUGCAACUCGACCGCGUGAAGUCGGAAUCGCUAGUAAUCGCGGGAUCAGCAUGUCGCGGUGAAUACGUUCCCGGGUCUUGUACACACCGCCCGUCACACCAUGGGAGUGGGUUUUACCAGAAGUAGUUAGCCUAACCGUAAGGAGGGCGAUUACCACGGUAGGAUUCAUGACUGGGGUGGUCGUAACAAGGUAA